ACCUUUUACUGUUGCUCCAAUCAAUUGCCCAUUUCUGGAGUCUGAACUUUGACAAAAAAUUGCAACAAAGAAAAAGUUUUCCAACUUUUGGGUGCUUCAUUGUUGUUGACUUGGUUGCCAUGUAGCUUCACAUAAAGAUUCAAGAAGUCUGUAGGGUAGGUGAUUUCUCUUGUCGACACUGAAAUAUUUCGUUGAAAUUGCCAAAAUGGGGGCAAAGUUUACAAAAAUGCCCGAAAUGUGCUAUAUGGUGGAAUUUUUUCAUGAAACUUCAGGGAGUGAAUUUUGAGCAUGAAUACACUUUUUAAUCAUUAGUUAAAAAAAGAGAAAAAAAAAAAAAAUAGUUGCAUUUCAGCAUUGGAUCCUAUUCCUAUGUUGCUAGUGUAUAACAUAGCCUACUAUGUUGCUAGUGUAUGAUGUAGCCUACUAUAUCCUUUUACUUAUAUAACGUUUUCUUCACAUAAUUUAGGCCUAAAACAAUCAACAUUCAAACAAAACAAUAGAAAUAUGCUCUAAAAGCAAAGAACUAUAAAUAUUAUCAAGCUUAUAUGAAAGUAUAAUAGUACAAUCAUAUAUAAAGUCGCUUUUGUUGUCAAAAUGUGUCAUCAUAGACACUUAACCAAGUACAAAUUUCCAACUAUUUCUGAAGUUCAAUAUUCCAUAUGGGAGGGUCAAAAUACGUAACUGGUAGAUUGAUGCUAUUUCAGUGACUAUAGAAGUAGCGAGGAAAGGCAUGUAUAUUUUUAUAACAGAUAGUAUGGUAGGUCACAAAUUGGGAGAAUUUGCACCUACGAUAAAUUUCCAAGGACAUGCGAGAAAUGAUAAUAAAUCUCGUCGUGAAUUUAAUAUUUAAUAAAGUGAAUAUAGGUGUUCGUCGUUCAUUGAGGGUGGUGAACUUAUGACAAAUAAGACAAAAUAUAAUGCGUAUAAAAGGUAUACUUCUGUAUACGCUUUAGGUCAACAUAUAUGCAUGUCUGCUCACAAAGCACGAAAAGUAAUUGAUCGGAUUCGUGGGUGUUCCUUCGAGUUUCGGGAAUAUCCCCAUUCAUAGGUCCGACCGUCCAAAUGUUCAACUCUGCCAUCAGUUGUUGGAAUCAAUAGGUCUUCAAAUCGUUCAUUUGAAUAAAUUGAAACCCUUCUUAUUGGCUGAUCAUGAUACUUCCCAAAAAUCGAAAUUCUUGAUCAAUGGAGGAACAAUAUCACCAUUUUUGUUCAAUAAUCUUGUAUGGUUUUGAAUAGAACUGAUUGGAGGAAUAGGAUCCAUGUAGCCGACCUCAUUUAGUUGGGAUAAGGCUGAGUUGUUGUUGUAGUUGUUGCUGGGACUGACAAUAUGAAUGCUCAAAUUGAAUGAAAAAUGCUGGCCAUGUCAUCCUUUGCCUAAAGGAUAAAGAACUUCAUAGAAACUUAAACUAAAGAAGUAGCAACUAUUAUACCCAUCAAGAUCCAUCAAAUCUCUACCAAAACCGAACCACAUCAUUGUUCGCAUUAACAGUAAUUUUGUUUCAUUAUUAUUAUUAUUAUUAUUUUUUUGAAUUUGAUUCUUGUCCUCUUCUUCAUGCUUUGAUCUACUUCAACUCACCACCCAUCUUCGAAAAAGAUCGACCUCGAGUUUUAUAGAAUCUAGGGAUGAGCUUCGUGGGGUGCAUGUCCAGCUUCAGCUCAAAACAAUACUCAAGCAGCUCACAGAUGUUUGGAAUGCAAUAUUCGAGGCGGGGAGCUUUAUCUUCAAAGAACUUUUUUGGCAUGACAAAAUCUACAUGCUCGAUUUCGAAAUCAUCAGUUGUGUCCAUGGGGUCUUCUACAGUUGCAUCUUCGACCUUCUCGAACUCAAACUCGAGCUCCUUAAGUUCUUCGUCCUUGUCAUUCGUAGUCUCCUCAAUGGUUUCUUCAACAACUACUUCAAUUAUCAAGCUUGCAAAAGAAGGGGUGGCUGCUACCUCCAUUCAACUAGUUCCUAUGCUGGGCCAGCCAGCCAAAAACCAGCCCAUUGAACUGGCCGAUUGAUCUUCUAAAAGGGCCUAAAUGCUUCUUAUCGAUUUCAGCAACAAGCUGGAAUUUUGUCUCCUUGUGAUUUUCAGCUUUUGUUUCCUUUUCCACGGUCUAGACUUUGUUUCCUUUUCGUGUUUCUUAGUUGACAAGUAAUUAGAACUAGCUAGUUGUCUAUAAAAGAUUCUUAAGUUACUAUUUUGAUAUUUCCUUAGCAAACAAGUUGUUUCAAUUAGGAAGGUUUCCUAAUUGAAUAGUUUCUUUUCUUAUUUUCGGGCAUUUCUCGAAAGGGUACAAUUGCUUGGAAUUUGACCAAUUGAGGUAUCUAGAAACAAUAUUUUAUUAUUUCUUUAUUCGAGAAAGAGAUCUUUAUUCUAUUUCUAUAGUAUUUCUAGAUCCAAGGACUAACCAAUUAAUUACAAUAAAAAGAAAGAAGGAAUAGAUCCAUAGAUUUGAUACCUUGUUAUCAUGGUUCAAAAUCUCACCGAGAUCUUGGCGAGUUUCGUUAUUUUUUUUUUUGGGCCGAGACAAGAUAAGCUACGAAAUACACUUUGUACAUCGUCUCGGUCGAAAUCUCGGUAUCUCAGCCGAGAUAUCGGUAUCAUCUUGGUGAGAUAUCGAAAUGUUACAUAAAUUGUUACUUUUUAUGGUAAAUAUACUUUUGAUGUAAGUCAAUUAUAUAUAUGUUACUCACCAUUGGCUGUUCUCCGACUUUAUCGGAGUGAAAUUUUGUUUUCAGCCUGUAAUUAUUUAUUUUAAUUUUCAAAAAAUUAUAAAAAUAGAUUAAUAAUAAAAAAAUAGGGAAAAAUAUUCUGUUUUGAUUUUAAAAAUAAAAGAAAAAUAAGAGAUUAAUAUUAAAGUGUUUUGAAGCAUACAUGAUGCUUUUUAUGUUAUACCAUAUUCUCUAGAACAGUUCUACGGUUGCUGCCAAACAAGGGUGCAACUCUAAAACAAUGUCAUGUUCUAAUAUUUUUGCAAAUUUAUGUUCUAAGCAUGUUUAUUAACCUUAAAACGAACUACCCACAAAGUUUCAGAUCAAAAUACAGCCGUUUGACCACCGAAACAGUGAACCGAGUAAAAAAAAAAAAAAAAAAAAAAUUACACCAACUCACCGAGGUCUCGCCAAGUUCGUGAUUCUGAACCCACCAAAAUGAGAUUUCGAACCUUGCUUAUUAUACAACCUAUGCUUGAUAGAAAUAUUAGAUCAGAUAGAGUCGACAAAUGAGGUGGGUUCAUUAACGACUCAUAGAUUCAAAAUGCCAAAGAAGAAAGCAUUCACUCCCCUCCCAUAUCUUGCUUCUAUAGUCUUUUUACCCUGGUGGAUCUCUCUCUCUUUUAAUCUUUCCAUUUUGUAACAAGCUUGGCCAAAGCUAUAAAUAGGCCUUUACUUGUAAGAAUUCAGCAGAUUUGAUUAAUGAGAUGUUGAGAAGUUUCUCCAUGGCUGUCAAGGUCGACUGAGGGGUGGGAUGCCCAAAACCUUAGGAGGGUGAGAGGCCCAAGGGGAGGAUGAGAGGCCUGAGCCAACCACCAUUCUUCUUCUCCAUUCUCAUCCCUCAAUCAAAUGUUGUUUCUUUCUUUAUUUUCUGUUUUCUCUUUGAGGGUUGUGAGACCAUUAUCAGCGUUGCAAAUUCAACAAGCAAAGCUGAAGAUCUGAGCCUGCUUCAAUACCUGCGACGGCAACAAGAGAGGGCUUCUUGGGUUAGGGACUGAACCUCAUAUCUCUCAGGCUUUUGGACCUACCUUUGACCCUUUUCAGCCACCCUUUUGGGAGUCAUCCAGGACUAUAUGAAGGCCACUCGACCAGCACAGGUUGGCCAUCAGACACCAGCAACUCCAGUUCUUGAAAAUCUCCAAAAACUUCCUUUUUCAUGGCCUGAGCAAGAACAUGCAGAUCUCAGCCAUCUUUCAUCGGAUCAGAGCAGGGUUUUGGGGGCUUGUUCCAUACCCUAGGAGUGACCUUCGACCAGAGAAUUGAGGCCAUCUAAGGCCUGUUGCUGUUGCUGCUCGAAAUCACCCAAAAGUUUCCUUUUUCUUACCAACAGCAUUUCUCUUAGUUCAGUGAUAUUAUGGGGGUUUGUUUGAUCAUACAAGGGCAACAUUUGAUCCAAAAGUUAGGCUCAUUUGAGCCCUGGUUUGAGAGAUACAGUUUACCCUAAUUUUGAACUUAUUCCUCAGUUAUAACUUCUGAUCAUAUAUGAAUCUUUUGUUUGCCUAAUGUGUGUAGCCUAUCACUAGUCCUUAUUGAGGUUGAUUACAUCUGCAAUCUUCCUUGUAUCAUCUUCCACUUUCAAAAUUUCAAUGACUGCCACAGUAACCCUUGGAGGUGGUGGGGGGAGGAGGGGACUAAUGUUGCUUCAAAUUGUUUCCCAAGAACGGCCAUGCAGUCUAAUAAUUGUUUCAGGUUCUCUUCAACUGCAUAUUCCUUCUGGUGGGAAUCUUGUUGAAGGGGGAGCUUUCUUUGGAUAUAUUCAGGUAGGUAUUGCUGUAUUGGUUUUCCAACUUGUGUUUCAUCUCUUCCUAAGUCCUAGGCUCACGUAUUUUAAAUUGGAGCCGCUCUUUAUAGACUCUCCACCAUUCUCUAGCACGACCACUCAAUCGGGAGUAAACAAAUCGAAGCUUUCACGUCUCUGUCAAGUUGUAGUAGACAAAAUAAUUCUCCAUAGAAUCUGACCAAUCAAGGAAUUGGCAGGGAUCCCUGUGUCUAGCAAAGUAAGUGACUUCUUGUUCCAUCUUCAGUUAGGUUUUGAUACCAAAUAAUGUAGAUGCUAGCUCAAAUAAGAACCAACCCUAUUGUAGGAUUGAUGCAUUGUCAUCAAUGGAGCUCUCCAACAAAACACCAUAGGAAAACUGAAUCGAUUGUGUCAGUUGCAAAUUAACCCAUUGAACAA
Macadamia integrifolia is the source of this 4871-nucleotide long non-coding RNA. RefSeq lists it as uncharacterized. The transcript is spliced from 2 exons. The record is from RefSeq and is a predicted model, not a curated record. NCBI's taxonomy places the organism in Eukaryota, Viridiplantae, Streptophyta, Magnoliopsida, Proteales, Proteaceae.